This 681-nucleotide ribosomal RNA is filed under the name uncultured bacterium. RNAcentral describes it as "bacterial SSU rRNA". It matches the Rfam family "Bacterial small subunit ribosomal RNA", at positions 790 to 1483 of the family's 1533-position model. The record is from RNAcentral.
GUAGUCCGCACGGUAAACGAUGGAUGCCCGCUGUUGGCGAUACAUUGUCAGCGGCCAAGAGAAAUCGUUAAGCAUCCCACCUGGGGAGUACGCCGGCAACGGUGAAACUCAAAGGAAUUGACGGGGGCCCGCACAAGCGGAGGAACAUGUGGUUUAAUUCGAUGAUACGCGAGGAACCUUACCCGGGCUUGAACUGCAGCCGAACGAUUCAGAGAUGAUGAGGUCCUUCGGGACGGCUGUGGAGGUGCUGCAUGGUUGUCGUCAGCUCGUGCCGUGAGGUGUCGGCUUAAGUGCCAUAACGAGCGCAACCCCUUUCGCUAGUUGCCAUCAGGUGAUGCUGGGCACUCUGGCGAUACUGCCACCGUAAGGUGUGAGGAAGGUGGGGAUGACGUCAAAUCAGCACGGCCCUUACGUCCGGGGCUACACACGUGUUACAAUGGGGAGUACAGAGAGUCAGGCGCCGGCAACGUCGCCUUAAUCAGGAAAGCUCUCCUCAGUUCGGAUUGGGGUCUGCAACCCGACCCCAUGAAGCUGGAUUCGCUAGUAAUCGCGCAUCAGCCAUGGCGCGGUGAAUACGUUCCCGGGCCUUGUACACACCGCCCGUCAAGCCAUGAAAGCCGGGGGCGCCUGAAGUCCGUGACCGCGAGGGUCGGCCUAGGGUGAAACCGGUGAUUGGGGCUA